GCGGACCGACGGGAGCUUGCUCCCUUAGGUCAGCGGCGGACGGGUGAGUAACACGUGGGUAACCUGCCUGUAAGACUGGGAUAACUCCGGGAAACCGGGGCUAAUACCGGAUGCUUGAUUGAACCGCAUGGUUCAAUCAUAAAAGGUGGCUUUUAGCUACCACUUGCAGAUGGACCCGCGGCGCAUUAGCUAGUUGGUGAGGUAACGGCUCACCAAGGCGACGAUGCGUAGCCGACCUGAGAGGGUGAUCGGCCACACUGGGACUGAGACACGGCCCAGACUCCUACGGGAGGCAGCAGUAGGGAAUCUUCCGCAAUGGACGAAAGUCUGACGGAGCAACGCCGCGUGAGUGAUGAAGGUUUUCGGAUCGUAAAACUCUGUUGUUAGGGAAGAACAAGUACCGUUCGAAUAGGGCGGCACCUUGACGGUACCUAACCAGAAAGCCACGGCUAACUACGUGCCAGCAGCCGCGGUAAUACGUAGGUGGCAAGCGUUGUCCGGAAUUAUUGGGCGUAAAGCGCGCGCAGGCGGUUUCUUAAGUCUGAUGUGAAAGCCCCCGGCUCAACCGGGGAGGGUCAUUGGAAACUGGGGAACUUGAGUGCAGAAGAGGAGAGUGGAAUUCCACGUGUAGCGGUGAAAUGCGUAGAGAUGUGGAGGAACACCAGUGGCGAAGGCGACUCUCUGGUCUGUAACUGACGCUGAGGCGCGAAAGCGUGGGGAGCGAACAGGAUUAGAUACCCUGGUAGUCCACGCCGUAAACGAUGAGUGCUAAGUGUUAGAGGGUUUCCGCCCUUUAGUGCUGCAGCAAACGCAUUAAGCACUCCGCCUGGGGAGUACGGUCGCAAGACUGAAACUCAAAGGAAUUGACGGGGGCCCGCACAAGC
RNAcentral lists this ribosomal RNA (884 nucleotides) under Bacillus licheniformis. RNAcentral's name for it is "bacterial SSU rRNA". It matches the Rfam family "Bacterial small subunit ribosomal RNA", at positions 66 to 930 of the family's 1533-position model. Lineage: Bacteria; Bacillati; Bacillota; Bacilli; Caryophanales; Bacillaceae. The record is from RNAcentral.